UAAAUAUUAAUCUUAUAUAAAAAUAUAAUAAUAAUAUAUUUAUAUAUUAUAUAAUUAUAUAAACAAAAUAUAAUUUAUAUAUAAUUAUUUAUUAUAAAUAUAGUCCGGCCCGCCCCGCGGGGGCGGACCCCGAAGGAGUGAGGGACCCCUCCCCAACGGGAGGGGGACCGAACCCC
Molecule: non-coding RNA, 176 nt
Filed under: Saccharomyces cerevisiae YJM1242
Lineage: Eukaryota; Fungi; Ascomycota; Saccharomycetes; Saccharomycetales; Saccharomycetaceae
Source: RNAcentral